Molecule: ribosomal RNA, 177 nt
Filed under: Giardia duodenalis
Lineage: Eukaryota; Fornicata; Diplomonadida; Hexamitidae
Description: Giardia intestinalis partial small subunit ribosomal RNA
Source: RNAcentral
UUGACGCUCUCCCCAAGGACGAAGCCAUGCAUGCCCGCUCACCCGGGACGCGGCGGACGGCUCAGGACGACGGUUGCACCCCCCGCGGCGGUCCCUGCUAGCCGGACACCGCUGGCAACCCGGCGCCAAGACGUGCGCGCAAGGGCGGGCGCCCGCGGGCGAGCAGCGUGACGCAGA